AUAGCCUUGUGGUCUCAGGUUCUCACCGUUAGCGACCGGCUCAUAACCGGUUGGUCCCUGGUUCGAAUCCGGGUGGGCCCA
RNAcentral lists this transfer RNA (81 nucleotides) under Chloroflexota bacterium. RNAcentral's name for it is "Chloroflexi bacterium (anaerobic digester metagenome) tRNA-Ile". It matches the Rfam family "tRNA". Rfam says of the family: Transfer RNA (tRNA) molecules are approximately 80 nucleotides in length. Their secondary structure includes four short double-helical elements and three loops (D, anti-codon, and T loops). Further hydrogen bonds mediate the characteristic L-shaped molecular structure. tRNAs have two regions of fundamental functional importance: the anti-codon, which is responsible for specific mRNA codon recognition, and the 3' end, to which the tRNAs corresponding amino acid is attached (by aminoacyl-tRNA synthetases). tRNAs cope with the degeneracy of the genetic code in two manners: having more than one tRNA (with a specific anti-codon) for a particular amino acid; and 'wobble' base-pairing, i.e. permitting non-standard base-pairing at the 3rd anti-codon position. The record is from RNAcentral. Lineage: Bacteria; Bacillati; Chloroflexota.